CAGCCAUUCCUGAUGUUCCCAGAACCAACCAUCAAAUUCCCAACACUUUGACCACUUCCAGAAGAUUGCCUUAAUAGGGUCUCCUGAGGCUGUUGCUUGUAUUAAAACUUCCAAUUGUGAGAGCAACGGCAAGAGUGAGAUGCAUGGCAGAAUGGAGACAGAGGCUUCACAAGUGCAGAGUAGGCAGACCACACAGGAGUCUGGAUCAAGGCUUCUCACAGCUUAACGUCCAUGAGAAUCACCUGGGAAUCUCGUUAAACUUCAGAUGCUGAUCAAUUAGGUCUGGAGCCGGGCCAGAGCUUUUGCCUUUCCAACAAGCUCCCAGGUGAUGCUGAUACUGCUGGUCUGCAAAUCAUACUACUUUUUGUAACACCAUUUGAAGAGUUAACUUAAUAAAUGGCAGCUAGAAUCCACCUUCCGGAGUGCUGGAGUAGCAAUGAGAACCCUGCCACUCCCUAUCAAAAGGUGGAGUCUUUUUUCUCCCCUUGAACUUGGUGGACUUGUGACUGUUCUGCACAUCAAAGAAGGAAAGAAAUGAUGUUCUGUGAUUCCCAAGGCUAUGUCAUAGAAAGGAUACAGCUUCUGCCUGGCUCUCUCUUUUUGGAAUGCAUGCUCUGGGGAACCCAGAUAGCGUACUUCAAGAAGGCCAAACUAAUCCAUUUGGAGAGUUCACAAGGAGAGACCCAUAUGGAGAGGAAUUGGAGCCUUCCUAGCCAACAGCCAGCAACAACUGCCAGAAUGAAUGAGUCUUCAGAUGAUUCCAGUUCCCAGCCUUUGAAGUUUUCCAGCUUCAGACAUUGUGGAAUAAAGAGAGAAGCCAUCCUGCUGUGCCCUGUCCAAACUCCUGAUCCACAGAAUCUGUGAGCAUAAUAACCUAUUUUUUCACACCACUAAAUUUUGGGGUAAUUUGUUACACAGCCAUAGGACCAGGAACAAUAAAACUGCUACACUUAAGAUUUGCAUUUCAACUAAAAUCAAAAAGAUUUUAAAGUGGCUUAUAAAAUUAAAUAUAAUGCAAACAGGGCCCAGAUAAAACAGAAUAGAGACUCAUAAAACAAAGCAGAAACAACUGUCAGGCAUUCAACACAGUAUUAUAACAACAUUGAUAGAUAACAGUUUUCUUCCAUGUGUGAGGCACUGCAAGGAGCCAUGAGUCAAUGCUCCCAAUAGCCCUAGAAGGCUACUGGUAUUAUCUCUAUUUUACAUAUCACGUGCAAAUCAGAAAUAAAAUACCCUAAAACUAAUAAAACUAUGGAAAACACAUUUUCCAUACUUUCAUCUUGUUUUGUUGAUUCAGAUGGCACUUUUCGGAUCCUUAUAAAGGAUCAUCACCAUGACUAUUGCUAAUCUAUACUAGUAGGCGUUGGCAAACUUUUUCUUAAAGGGCCAGAUGAACAUUUUAGUCUCUGAAGGUUAUAUGUAGCCUUUGCUGCAUAUUCUUCUUUGUUUGUUUGUUAUAGCCCUUUAAAAAUGUAAAACCAUUCUUAGACUGUGCUCACCACAAAAACAUUCUGUGGGCUGGCCCUUGGGCCAUAGUUUGCCCAACAGACCACUACAGGGAAAUGUUGAAUACUAGAAGUUUAAAUUAAUAAACCCAUUUUUAUUAUAAUACUUAUAAUGGCAUCUACAGUUAUACUAAAUUAAGAAAAUAUCGUUUCUGGCUCCAGCCUACUAUUAUCCACUGAAACCACAAGCUUCCAUGAACUGUUGGUAAAUGAAAAUGUAGCUCCAAACAUCCACAAUUUCCAUUAUAAUAAAUGUCUAUUCAUAACUGACAUUCACCAACACUGAAAAGGUUUGGAAGACUGUCUGAAAGAAAUGGUCUCUCUAGGGUCUAACUGCUUUUCCAGGCAUACACAUGGAUAUCUCUUUGUCUUUAUUGAGAUAGCCCAGUGUGACUGAUAAAACACUGAACACUUCUAACCUCUAGUGUCAAUCCUUUACAAGAAAAUGUUUAUUAUUCUUGGCAGGAAAUGAUGGAAACUGGUGACAAAUAGCCGGACUACCUUCACAUGUAAGUGAACUGGAAUUUUGAGGGAACAGUUCUCCCUAGUAAAUUUGUCUACACAGAGCUUAAUCAACCAAAUUUACAGCUGUUAACAGGUUGUGCCUCUGUAUUCCCAAACAUAUAAAUAAACUUCUUAAUCAGAAUGAAAACAGGUUCAAGGUCCAGUUGUUUAAACUGGAAUUGGUACAGCCAGGACCCAACUGCAGUUAAAGUGACUAUCAAGGAGAAUCAUAAUCUUGGUAGAAAAGUUGUUUUCCAGUUUCCUCAAAGCUACAAAGAUACUGCUUGACAAACACUUCUGUGAUCACUUAAAACCAAAGUUAUAUGAUCUCAUCUAAAACACCCAAUCUAAUGCCAAAUCAAACCCACUAAUUUUCAAGUUGAAGUUCCAAAUUAGGAAGAAGCUAAUUACUUAAAUUCAAAUUGGAAGGGGAAAGAUUUUUAAGUGCCUAUAAAUCAAAAGGCCCAUAGAAACUGGAAUGAGUAUUGGAGUGAGGAAAUGAAAUCACAUAUAUAAAAGGUUUUAUUCAUUUUGCUUAGGAAUGCAAAAGUAAAUAAAGUUUAAGUAAAUGAAAAGCAGUAAGCACAGGUUCAUAGACAGCCCUUUUUACAGACUAAGAAGAGAUAGCUGAACACUGGUAACUAAGGUGUUGGCCAUGUCAUGAUAAUAGAAACAAUUUAUCUUGCUGAAUUAAUUAGCGAAAACAGUCAACAAGAAAAGUAACCAAACCAAUCACCAAAAAGGUACAGCCAAUUUACACCCUUCCAUUUUUGAAAAUCCCUGGAAAAUUAGAAGUGUUAUUUCACGGCAUCUGACACUUUUAUUAUUGUGUUUGACACUCUACAUUUCUUUCACCAAAAGAUCAUCCAAAAGACAAAGAAAUUUAAAUUUCUUUGUAUUGAGUACAAACAAAACAGAGCAGCUAACCAUACAGAAAAAAACUAUCACCCAUAAAAAUAGCACUUUUGAGCCUAUAUUACUACACAACUGACAAAUUCUAUUUAUUAUAAGUUGAGCUUAAACAAUGCUAUAUCCUGUUUGAAACCUCAAUUUUAUGAUACUCAAAUGCUAUAUCUGCCAAAUUCUACUUUUCCUCAAAUUAUUCCAAUAUGACUUCAAACUAAGUGUCCACAGUAGAAGCUGAUGAGAAGAAAUAGCUCAGGUAUAUACAUUUUCAAAGUUCUGGGAAGGGAUCCCAUAACAUUUAAAAUAAUGACAUUUAAGCACAAGUAUCUAUUUAUAAGCAUCUGAAUUCUUCUGACAAAGGAAAUAUUUUUAUACUGACAAAACCGAGCCCAUUACUCUAAAACCUUACAUAUUUGUUAGAAAAGCAGGGGAAAAUUUGGUCUGAAUAAAUAAAAUGAAUAAAUGAUUCAGGAUCCCAAACAACUCUCAGCUUCUCCAAUGAAGCUGUAGGUCUGAUGACCCAAGGUUUCAAUGAUCUUUUUCUAUGAACUUCUAUGCAUCUAUGGAAUAAUCACAUGGCCAAGCAAUUGAUUAUAUAUCGAUUUCUAUUGUUUUCAAGACAUUUCUUAUGUUGCUUUAGUCUUUAAAAUCUUUUGAACCUCAAAGCCAUCUAAACACUUCAAUAAGCAAUUCUUAAGAACUUACUUCCUUUAAAACUUUCCCUAGUGCUGUGGAAAGGUAUGUUCCAAUUAAAUACAAAAAUGAUUGAAUAUCAAGUUAAGGAUCUUCACUUAAUUCAUAGAUAAUGGGAAGCUACUGAAUGAAAGUGAAAUGGUAGCAGCAAUAUCUGAAGAAGAGUAAUCUAGAUGUCUUGUACAGGUUGGAUUAGAAGGUUGAAAGACUGGAGGAAAAACAAAAUAAAAUUAAGAAACUAUUCAAUUGUCCACAAAAUAGGUGGCUGGUGCCUGAGCUAGAGUGGUGGGAAGGAAAGUAGAAGUGGGCAUAGAAACAGAUAAAUAGAUAGAGGGAGCCUAAAAAUUGUCACAAACUGGUAAUUUCUUAAGUGUGAGAAUAAGAUAGAAAGCAUGGUCAAAGAUGAUUAGUUUCAGUCCAGCAAACAUUUACAGAGAACCUACUUUGUACAAGGCAUUCAAAAAUGAAGUUUGAUCAUAAUCAAUACUAUAAUAUAGGUAUAAACAACAUAUUAUCAUAGUCCAGAGGAUGACACAAUCAGUCCUGAGUAGAAUUUUGGGAAGACCAACAUUUUAAGCCUGACUGUUAGAAUAAUGAUACGUAUGCCAAAUGUUGUCUAUUCGUUCUUCAAAAGGUACUUUAAUCCACCUCCCUUAAAUCUCUUUCUACAAAGUCCAAGCACAGGUCUUCUUUUACCUGUAAUACUUCAUUAGACUCCCAGCAUCAAACACGCUCUCUCACCCAGCUGCUCCUCAGUAUAGCAAAUCAAGUUAGUUACCAAGUUUUAGCAGACUGCUUUCCUCCUGCUACUCUCUUACUACUCUAAAGGAGAGGACUUUGGUGACUUUCAGUGAUUUUGAGGAUCAACCUGUUGCUGCCCAAACAGUCACUUCUUUAAAGCCUCUCAUCCUACUUUUCAUCUGAGCUCUUCUCAUUUUGGUCAUAAGAGUUUUACAUUCCUUUUUAUCCAGGUGAAAGCGAUGUAUCCUCAUUGUAAAGGUGGUUUGAGGAGCACAUGACUUAUGAGUCAGAAAAUGUGAGACUGCAUACUGGCUCUACCAUCUCCUGGUUAAAUGAUAUUGGACAAGUCCGUCUGUACUCUUAUCUCUGUACCUGAAGAAACAGAGCCAACCUCACAGGGAUAUUUUGAGGAUUUAUGUGAAGUUUUCAUAAAGUGAGAAGAGACAGGACAUAAACUUCUGUAAAUAUGAAGAUGAUUAUAGAUCCAUAUUAAGUAAAGUCAAUUCUUUACCUAAUGAGUAAUGGUUCAGAGCCUAGAUCAGGUAUUGGCUAUUCCAAGUUUCUGACUCCAUUUGUUUUGGCAUGCCAGGCUAAUGGGGCAGGGUAGAGAGGCACGUUAGAUAAUUUUUAAUCUAUAUCCAUGCAGUGAUGUCCCAAUACUCCUGAAGCUUUUGGCUUUGUAUCUCUAUCCAAGCCAAAUAAAUUGAAGUUUUCAUCUACAGAGAAAAACAAAAGUCUAACUGACCUUUUUAAGCUUGAUUAGUGUAGAAUUUCCAAUAACUGCUCCCCACUCUGUUUUUAAAAACAUUUGUAGUUUGGGAAACUAGGCUCUUUUUAAUUCACUACUUUCUUCUCUAUGUAAAGGUUCUGCUCAAGUCCUCUAUCCAAUCACGUGUUAACUGUGUAAAACAAUUCUGUGCAACAGAACUUUCUGCAAUAGAUAUGUUCCGUAUCUGCACUAUCCAAUAUAGUAGUCACUGGCCACCUGUGGCUAUUGAGCACCUGUAAUGCAGCUAGUGCAUCUGGAGAACUAAUUUUUUACUUUAAUCUUAAUUAAUUUAUAUUUAAAUGGCCACAGGUGUCCACUGGCUACCAUUUUGGACAGCUCAGGUCUGAUGUGUGCCGGAGACAUACCCAUUAAACUUGUAAAAUCUACUGACAAGGCUGAGCCACAGUGUCCAUUCCACCCCAACUAUAAAAAUUCUGCUGCUGCUCUUCAGAGUACAGAGCUAGUUCCCAUAGGUGUACCUGCAUAACCAUGGUUUCUGUCGUUGCUCAUGGUGCUCCCUCUGCUUAGAACAUCCUCCCCCUCACUGUUAUGCCAAGCAAAUUCCCAUUCAUCUUUCAAAGCCAGUUCAAAUGUUACCUUCCCCAAGAGCCUCCUUUAAAUUUUUUUGAGAGUAACACAGCAGUGAAAAGAGCCAUAGCUGAAGAAAAAGGCAGAUUGAAGUUGAAUCCCAGAUUAAAGUUUGGCCCUUACUAGCCAGCAAUUACUAUACCUUGAACAAAUCUUGAGCCUCAAUUUUCUUCUCUAUAAAAUAGUAAAAAAAUAAAAAAAUACUACUUUUGCAAAUUUGUUGUAAGAAUUAGAAAUUCUGAGCAGCAUUACAUUAUGGCUAGCGUUUAUUAAACAUCUACUUGUAUCGGUCAUUAUGGAAGUACAACACGUGAAUUUUUUCAUUUCACUGAUAGCAACCCUAUAAAGUAAGCAAUAUCCCUUUACCUAUUCAUCCAUAUAUUCAGCACUUUUAUUCACUUAUUCAUUCAACAAAACAUUUGAGGGCCUAAUGUGCCUGGCGAGAAACUGAGGAUCAAGGAGUAAACAAAAAAAGUCCUAGCACUCAGAGAUCUUAUAUUCUAGUGGAAAAUAUAAACAAUAAGCAAGAAAACAGAUAUAUAACAUCAGUAGUGUUAAGUGUUAAUGGAGAAAAAUAAGGCAAGAUAAAUAGAGAAUAAUGGAGGAUGCUAUUUUAUAGAUGAGGUUGCCUAGCAAGGCCCCACCACAGAGGUGAUACUUGGGCAGGGGACUAACUAAAGCAUGAGGAUGAGCUAUGUGCAAACAUGUAGAAAUAAUGCUCCCAGGAGAAGGAACAACAAUUUACUGAGAGCUAUUACUUAGUAGAUCCUAUGCUAGACACUGGAAACACAUGAGUGAACCAGGAUUUUACAUUAUUGUAAAUAAAUGAACAAAACCAUAAUGCCUUAGAAGUGACAAGUUCAAUGAAGAAAAGGGAAAGAUAUAAGCAAAUAGAGAGUGAUGGAAGGAAGCACUGUUAUUUCUGCUUUAGAGAUGAGGACGCUGAGAGGUUAAAUAACAAGCUGAUAAAUUAUAAAGCAGGCAUUUAAACCCAUAAAGUAGCUCAUUCUUUCAAUUACUAUACCAUUCUCUCCUGCCUAUACUAUAAAGUCUCCACUGGGAACUACAGAAUGGCAAAAAUCAUGGUACAUUCUUUGCUGUACCUCUAAUACCAGUACAAUGAUACACAGGAGAUGCAAAAUAAGGUUGAAUUAACUAAGAUUUCCACUCUAGAUGUAAUAUGAAAACUCCAUUAUAAUUAAAGAGACCAUGACUCUAAAACCAGGAAGAUGCCUCUCCUUAUUCAGGGAAAUCCCAUUAACAUAUUCACAACAAUAAAUAAAAUAUAACAUUUAGGUUCUGGAAGGAGGUUAGAGUGAGAGAGAAAUAGUCAAAGGGUCCUAGUGCUUAUUACUGCAACACAAAACUACUUGUAUGGGCUUGGCAAAGGGUGGGAUGGGAGACUGUAAUAAAUGGGGGAGGAAUAACAAAGUUAAGGAAUAACAAAUUUAUCAUCACACAGAUGUUAACCAAACUGGUGACAAGUUAGCAAUAUAUAUCAGGCUUAUUGACACUAUUUGCCCAAGUAUUUUCUUCAUUGUAAACUCUUAAGAUUUAGAAUACUUCAAGUUUCAAAGCUGCUUCCUAUCACUUAGCAAACUAGUUCACAACUAUCAGCACUUUAACUCAUAAACCGAAGGAAGAAAAUCCCAGGGCCAUAUGAACAAAUUCUCACCAUGCCAUCAUAACCUGUUUAAUCUGUGUGAAAACAUCUUAUUCGUAAUCACUGUACUUUUUUCCUAAUUAAAAAGCAAUAUAUAUCUAUUCUUGAAGAUCUGGAAAAUUCAGAACUAUCUAAAGGAGAAAAUAUUACCCAAAGAUAACUGCUAUCAAUGAGAUGGGGUAUUUAUUUCCAAUAUAAAGAGGUGUUUAUUUUUAUAUAUGUAUAUGCAUAUACAUGUUUAAUGGUUGUUGUGUGGGUGAUUGUUGUUUUUUAUGGAACUGUUACACUUUUUCACAUAGCUCUGUAUAUUGCUAUUUUUCAUUUAACAUUAAUAUUACUUGAAGAGCAAUUUCCCCACAUUUUAAAAUAUUAAUUUUAAUAACUGUAAAAUAUUCUACUGUAAUUAACCAUCUCUCUGUUGUUGAUUCCAAAUUUAUGCCAUUAAAGUUGAUGUUGGGAUGAACAUCACUGCACUUAAUCUGUAUUAAAAAUAAUGAUUAUUUUCUUAGAAUAAAUUCCAAGCAGUAAAACUACUGGUUUAAAUUAUACAGAUAAAUUAUAUCAAAUUUUAUAAGCGUUGUCAAAUGUCUUUGACAAGGCAACGCCAACUUACAUUUCUGCUACUGAGUUAUGAGGCUUUCCAUUCCAUACUUGCCCACAAAAGGUAUCAUAUUUUUUGAAAAUAUGCAAGGCAAAAAAUAACAUGUCACUAUUCUAAUUUGCAUUUAUUUUAUCAAUGACGCUAAAUAUUUUUUUUCUAUUACCAGUUGUAUUUCUUCUGUGAAUUCUUUUUAAAAAAAUAUUAUUUGGCCAUUUUCUUUUGGGGUCAGCACUUUUUUCUAUCAUUGAUUUUUAAGAACACUUUACAUAGAGAGAGAUUUGCCCUUUAUUAACAUACAUGUUACAAAUAUUUCUACCUCUUUAUUGCCGGCCUUUAAAGCUUUUCUAACGUAGAGAUGUUUAAGUUUUUCAUGUAGUCAUAUUUAUCAGCACUUUGUUAUUAAUCUGCUCCAUUUAAUUUAUGCUGGAAAAGUACUUACUACCUUUCUCUUAAAAUUGGGUUGGAGCUACUGAAAACUACUUACACCUAGAAAAUCUACGGAUGAAAUACCAGCAAUAUGAGGGAAUAAUCCAACCUAGAACUCUCCAACCACUAACAAAGAUAUACAGUUACUCUCACUUCAAUCAAAAUAUAUAGAAAUAUUAAAUAAGAUACACAAAGGUUUUUGGUUUAAAAACACAGAUGAGUUUCAAAUCAAUACAGGGAAAUCCCCCAAAUGCAAGAUGUAAAACAAGAAAAUCAGAGGACAAAAAUACAGCUGUCCCUGUCCCUCAGUAUUGGUGCGAGACUGGCUCUAGGAGGGAGCGCCCACCCCGCCCCAAUACCAAAAAUCUGUGGACAGAAAUUUUGAUUCAUAGCUAGUUGAAUCCACAGAUGCAAAAUCCAUGGAUAGGAAGGGCUGACUGUAUUACACUUCCAUGGUGAAGUUUAUUCCUAAGUAUUUUAUUCUUUUUCUUUCUAUUAUAGAUAGAAUUCUUUUCUUAAUUUCAUUUUCACAUUUCAUGGCUAGUAUAUAGAAACACAACUGAUUUGGGUACAUUGAUCUUGUAUCAUGUAACCUUGGAGAAUUCAUCUGUUAUCUCAAAUAGGUUUUAUUUUUCAUUUGGGGGAAUUCUUUAUGGGGGGUUAUAUUUAUAAGAUCGCGCUAUCUGCAAAUAGAGAUAAUUCUAGUUCUUCCUUUCCCAUAUGGUUGUCUUUUCUUUUUCUUGCCUAAUUGCCCUGGCUAGAACCUCCAGCACAAUGUCGAAUGAAGUGGCAAGAGCCAUUACUGAAAGAAUUUAAAGAUAUUAAAAAAAAAAAGGAAAGAUGUUCAUGGACUUGAAUACUUGAUAUUGUUAAGAUACCAAUACUCCCCUAAGAUUCAAUAUAAUCUUUAUCAAAAUUCCAGUUGUUGUUUUUUUUAAAAACAGAAAUGGGGCUUCCCUGGUGGCGCAGUGGUUGAGAAUCUGCCUGCCAAUGCAGGGGACACG
This is a long non-coding RNA of Aethalodelphis obliquidens (Pacific white-sided dolphin), 9400 nucleotides long. RefSeq lists it as uncharacterized. The transcript has 5 exons. NCBI's taxonomy places the organism in Eukaryota, Metazoa, Chordata, Mammalia, Artiodactyla, Delphinidae. The record is from RefSeq and is a predicted model, not a curated record.